RNAcentral lists this ribosomal RNA (301 nucleotides) under uncultured bacterium. RNAcentral describes it as "partial 16S ribosomal RNA". It matches the Rfam family "Bacterial small subunit ribosomal RNA", at positions 509 to 809 of the family's 1533-position model. The record is from RNAcentral.
CAGUAGCCGCGGUAAUACGGAGGGUGCAAGCGUUAAUCGGAAUUACUGGGCGUAAAGCGCACGCAGGCGGUCUGACAAGUCAGAUGUGAAAUCCCCGGGCUUAACCUGGGAACUGCAUUUGAAACUGUCAGGCUGGAGUCUUGUAGAGGGGGGUAGAAUUCCAGGUGUAGCGGUGAAAUGCGUAGAGAUCGGGAGGAACAUCAGUGGCGAAGGCGGCCAUCUGGGACAACACUGACGCUGAGGCACGAAAGCGUGGGGAGCAAACAGGAUUAGAUACCCCUGUAGUCCCUGUCUCUUAUAA